RNAcentral lists this ribosomal RNA (488 nucleotides) under uncultured bacterium. Its description in RNAcentral is "partial 16S ribosomal RNA". It matches the Rfam family "Bacterial small subunit ribosomal RNA", at positions 28 to 523 of the family's 1533-position model. The record is from RNAcentral.
GACGAACGCUGGCGGCGUGCCUAACACAUGCAAGUCGAGCGGAGUUAAUUGAAAGCUUGCUUUUGGUUAACUUAGCGGCGGACGGGUGAGUAACGCGUGGGCAACCUGCCUAUCACAGGGGGAUAACACAGGGAAACUUGUGCUAAUACCGCAUAAUACAGCGAGAAAGCAUUUUCUUGUUGUCAAAGGAGCAAUCCGGUGAUAGAUGGGCCCGCGUCCAAUUAGCUAGUUGGUGAUGUAACGGACCACCAAGGCGACGAUUGGUAGCCGAACUGAGAGGUUGAUCGGCCACAGUGGGACUGAGACACGGCCCAGACUCCUACGGGAGGCAGCAGUGGGGAAUAUUGCACAAUGGGGGAAACCCUGAUGCAGCAACGCCGCGUGAAGGAUGAAGGUUUUCGGAUUGUAAACUUCUUUAGUCAGGGACGAAUAAAUGACGGUACCUGAAGAAUAAGCCACGGCUAACUACGUGCCAGCCGCCGCGGUAA